GUUGUCGCCACAAAGCAAAUCCACCCAAAUUCUCCUUUAUGGCCUCAACGAAGAGCUCUGAUCCAGUAUUGUCAACGGUUCAUUGGCUCUCCAAUCCUUUAUUCGUAAUUGCUCGAUUUGGCUCCAAGAAGGCAUCUAUUCCCCAUUUCACUCUCCCUCUCCUUGAAAUUUGAAACCCCAUUUGCAUUUCCUCUACCAUUGCUCUCCACGAAGGCGUCUGAUCUCCAUUACUCUUGCUGGGUUUUCAUAGUCUCGGCCAUCACUCUAAGGUGGCAUGUGACUUGUGCAUCAAUUGGACAAUUGAGGUCAACACUCCUUGAGGUCAAUGGCUGAUGGUUUGCACGUGAAUUAUGAUUAUUUUGAGGGAUUAAAUCAGCUGAAAUGAUGUGGAUGACACAUGAGAAAUUAGGCACACAUUGGAAUCAUCUACAAACCAAUAGGAAGUUGCCAUCUUGCAAGUAUGACAAGGCUCCCAUUUACAUUUUAAUUUUUUUAUUAAGCUUCACCUAAUGGGAAACACCAAGGAGCAUGCCAUUUUAAACCCCAAAAUGGGAUCCAACACUCAUCUCAUUCAUCUUCCACAUUCUCUCUCUCUUGUCCAUAGUGUUCUUCAUUUUCUCUCUUUUGUUCUUCAUUUUCCAGCACCCUAACCUCCAUUUUCAGCCACCAAACCUCCACAAAACUCAUACCAUUCUUCUCCUCUCUUCAUUUUCAUUCCAUCCCUUCCAUUUUCACAAGGAUUGAAGCUCAUUUCCAUCAUUCAAGAGCUAUGGAGUUUGGCCUUCACAAGCAAUCACUAGGGUUCUUGAAGAUGAAGAUUGGCUAAGUUUCUUUAUGGAAUCCUAGAGAGAUGAAGAUGGAUGAUGAGUCUUGAGCUUCAAAUUGGCUAAGUUCUUUUGUUUCCUAUCCUCUUCUCUUUUUACUAGAUGGUUAGAUUCCUUAAUCUAGGGUUUAAUCAUCUUAGCUUAUAAAUUCUAAUUUGAAUGUGAUGUUGAUGUAAAGAGAGAGGAUUGUUUCAUUUAAUUUCUUCCUUGGACAGCCAUGACUGAAUUUUGCCACUCUUUGUUUGGCACAUAAUCUUGUGUUUUUCAAUUA
This is a long non-coding RNA of Prosopis cineraria, 1095 nucleotides long. RefSeq lists it as uncharacterized. The record is from RefSeq and is a predicted model, not a curated record. Lineage: Eukaryota; Viridiplantae; Streptophyta; Magnoliopsida; Fabales; Fabaceae. The transcript has 2 exons.